This 427-nucleotide ribosomal RNA is filed under the name uncultured Caryophanales bacterium. RNAcentral describes it as "uncultured Bacillales bacterium partial 16S ribosomal RNA". It matches the Rfam family "Bacterial small subunit ribosomal RNA", at positions 355 to 774 of the family's 1533-position model. The record is from RNAcentral. Lineage: Bacteria; Bacillati; Bacillota; Bacilli; Caryophanales. RNAcentral also lists the same sequence under 1 other name.
UAGGGAAUUUUCCGCAAUGGACGAAAGUCUGACGGAGCAACGCCGCGUGAGUGAUGAAGGUAUUCGUAUUGUAAAACUCUGUUGUUAGGGAAGAAGAACAUACUUAGGAAAUGAAGUAUGAGUGACGGUACCUAACGAGAAAGCCACGGCUAACUACGUGCCAGCAGCCGCGGUAAUACGUAGGUGGCGAGCGUUAUCCGGAAUUAUUGGGCGUAAAGGGCGCGUAGGCGGCUUGUUAAGUCAGUUGUGAAAGCCCACGGCUUAACCGUGGAGGGUCAAUUGAAACUGACAAGCUUGAGUGCAGGAGAGGAAAGUGGAAUUCCAAGUGUAGCGGUGAAAUGCAUAGAGAUUUGGAGGAACACCAGUGGCGAAGGCGACUUUCUGGCCUGUAACUGACGCUGAGGCGCGAAAGCGUGGGGAGCAAACA